AAACCAGAAGAGAAGAGAAACCAAGGAAGAACAAACCCUCGGUGGGGAAAAUCAAAGAGAAAGUGUUGGAAUUCAAGGAUUUGAUCAAGCAAAGGUAAAAUUUCUUUGAUUUUGCUAGUGAUUUACCUUACCCAUGCCUUUCUCCUUAAUUUCCAUGGUUGGAUUGUAUGUUUUCAUGGGGAAAUCAUGGCUGGCCGAAUGGGUUUGGUGAGAGAAAUGAUGUUGGAAUUGUUUGAUUUUGAGUUAUGUUGGUGUUUAGAGUUAGUUAAGCAUGUUUAGAAACAAAACAACAAGAAAAGAAUCCAUUUUUCCCAUGAACCUUCAAUGGCCGAACCCUAUGUGAAGUGUAGAAGUAAUGAAUUGAUUUUGUGAUCAAGUGAAUUGGUUGAAAAAAUGAUGAAAUGAUGAUUUAUAGUAAGAAAAUGGAAUGGGAAAAUUUUUAGUGAUAGUGCCCCACAAUGGCCGAAAUUUUCAAGAAGAAUUGUGAGGCUUGUUAGGCUGAAUUUUAGAUUAUUGAAAUUGUAUUUAGUGAAUUGAAAUAUGAGAAAUGAAAUGGAGCAAUUUGGAGCCAAAUCAGACACAAUUGUCAUUUAAUCGGGUAAUAGGCCGAAUUAGGUCAGCACUGCAUUUAAGCGGUAGUCGGAUAAGUUGCAUAUCAUAUCAUGCAUAUACAUCGAGUCUGAAUUAAUUUUAUAAUGGUCAAGUAUUAAUGUGGUGAAUUAUGUAUUGUACAUUGUUGAUAGGUGGUGAGUAAAUUACACUAGUAAAAGUACAGAGAUUGUGCUUAAAGACUGGGAUUAGGAGUACAUCGACUCCUAGAACUGUGAGUAAACUUAUUAUCAUCUUAAUUAUCUAGAGUAGUUUUAUACAAUUGUGUGAUUUUAUAGAAAAUGGGUUUAAAUGGUAAAUUGCUAUGUUUUAGGAGAAAUUGUGAUUUUAUAAAAUGAUUUUAUAAAUUUUCUGAAAAAUUGAAUAUUGGUUUUGAAAAUAGAGUAAUUAGAGACUGUCUGCUUGUGUUAUAAAUUAUGUUUUAAAUUAUAUGGCUUAUAGCAAUAUGUGAGCAUGAAUGGCAAAGUCGGUAUUUGUAUCAAAAUUAUAUAUACUAUGUAUUCAGCCUUGAGAGGCUAGAUUGCGAUAAAUUACCAUGUCAUGCAAAUAAGGAUUUUAUAAAUCAGGUGGUAGAUAAAAUAAUCUAUAAUCCCUACAAUGGAGGUUCUGUGGACCAGCCUAAGAGAGGGGGCACAGAAUCAGAUAUACCUUACCUCGAUCGGAGAGUCGUGUGAAGGGUGUCUCUAGAGGUAAAGAUUUGAGUGCACUUCACGUGGACCACCGCGUGAGAGUGAGACUCAGCCAACGCCAAGGCAUGGCUAGAAUUUCGAAUGUAAAGACAUUUAACCGCCUUGGUGGUCUUAGUCAAAUGCCUAGGCCAAGGCAUCCCCGGGAAUGAUUUUGGCAGGAGCCAAGUUUUGUGAGAUAUAUAAGCCAUGUUGAUUAAUUGAGUAAACUGAAAAUUCAUGUUAUGAAACAUAUAUUGGAAAAGAAUAUUUUAAUUCGUCUCCAUUUACUCGCCUUUAGAUAGUUUAGAUGGUGUCUAUUUACUCACUGGGAUUUUAUAAUCUCACCACCCUCAUUUCCUCACAUUUCAGGCUCGGGGAAUUUCAUAGUUAGCUGACUUUGACAAGGACCUUCAUUUGGACUUGAAUCGGCAAAAGUUGUAGGUUUUCAGCUUUCGAUGCAUUUUAAUUUGAUGUGGGCCCACGUGUUGCUGUAAAAGUAAUUUUAUACUUUGGUUAUUUGCUUUAUAGUAUAUAUGAAUAUAAUUAACUUUUACGCUAUAAGAAUUAUUUACC
This 1850-nucleotide long non-coding RNA is filed under the name Theobroma cacao (cacao). RNAcentral describes it as "long non-coding RNA (TCAC_LNC005369)". The record is from RNAcentral. Lineage: Eukaryota; Viridiplantae; Streptophyta; Magnoliopsida; Malvales; Malvaceae.